RNAcentral lists this long non-coding RNA (1554 nucleotides) under Homo sapiens (human). Its description in RNAcentral is "non-protein coding lnc-FAM84B-15:65". The record is from RNAcentral. Lineage: Eukaryota; Metazoa; Chordata; Mammalia; Primates; Hominidae.
UUUUUUUUUCUUUGACACAAAGUAAAAUUAUAAUUAAUAUUGAAUAAAGUAAAAAUGAACUCCUGAGUUCCAGUCCCUUAUGUAACACACCUGGUUUGUGGCAGGCACUCAGGAAAUAUUAGUUGCAUGAACGAAGGCUGCAUUUUCAUUAGAACAACAUGCAGUUCAACCCCUUCAUGUUUCAAUGAGGGUUCAGAUACCCAGAGGGCUAUGCUAUCAUCCUGGAGCCCACUCUGCUAACAAUUAGCAGAACGGAAGCCUUAAUUUCCAGAUUCUAGUGAACUUGAUGAGUCAAGACUAUUGCAAUUGGAAAUCUGUUCUCCUCUGCUGCUGCAUUCCCUGCUUAAUACUCAAGCCAGAAACCAGGAAGGCUGUGGCUUGCCUUUUCACUUCUUGUGUCCUGUUUAAGAAAUAUCUGCUAUCCCAAGCAUCUGGCAUCUUUCUUGACAUAUGUAGCAGUUGCUUUUUGACAGCUUGCUUCUUCAGUGAAUGAAUAAAUUAAUAAAGAGAAAUGUGAUGUUCAGUGAUCCAUUUUGCAGAUUGCAAACUCCUAGAGAAGGGCUCAACAGUGAGUGCUGAGGCUGCACAGAGGAGGAAGGCAGCACAAUGAUGGAAGGCUUCCUAAAGAGAUAACACUAACAAAGUUGACCUUAGAAUUGGAGUGCCUGGGUUAGAACCCUGCUGGUACCACCUGCUUACUGCAUGCUUCUGAUGUGAGUUCAGGAGAAGACACUGGCAAGGACAGCAAAGAACAGGAGAACACUCUAGCUUCCCUGAUAGCAUUCAAGGUGCUGUCCAAACUGACUGUGAUGGCACCCUCCAGACAGACAGCGAUGCCACAUGUUCAAGAUGGCAGAAUCACUAUCAGCUUCAAUUCCUGAAUGACUGCAGAGCAAAAUUUCUUACCUGCAACAUACACUCUAUUUUCAGCCUCCCUGGACUGUUACAUAAUGAUACAUAAAAAUAUUUCUUGUGUUGAGGCAUCCCAAAUUUGAUUUAUUUGUCAUCACAGUCUAUCCUAUGAAUAUAUUUCUGAUCCAAAUAAUGCUAGAUUCAUGAGAGUUUAUAGUCCAGAGAUUUUUUUUUUUUUUUUGAGACAGAAUCUGUCUCCCAGGCUGGGGUGCAGUGGCAUAAUCUUAGCUCACUGCAACCUCUGCCUCCCGGGCUCAAGUGAUCCUCCCUCCUUAGCCUCCAUGAGUAGCUGGGACCACAGGUGUGCACCACCACACCCCGCUAAUUAUUUUGUAUUUUUUGCAGAGGGGGGUUUCACCACAUUGCCCAAGCUGGUCUCAAACUCCUAGACUUAAGGGAUCUGCCUGCCUUGGCCUCCCAAAAUGCUGAAAUUACACUUGUUAGCCAUAGUAAUAGUUCCUAGCCAUAGUCCGGAGAUAUUUUAAAAACUUUAGUGUGAGUUAUUUCUCUUUGCUAUAAUUCUCUCAUGCAUUUUGAAAACCUUUUCUGCCAUACAGUGGUUUUUGGGAAGUCCUUUUGGACAGACAUAUCACAGGAUGGAGAAACUAAAAAGAGAGAAUGCAUUAAAGAAAAAAUAGUACU